Non-coding RNA from Rodentibacter myodis, 86 nucleotides. The record is from Rfam. NCBI's taxonomy places the organism in Bacteria, Pseudomonadati, Pseudomonadota, Gammaproteobacteria, Pasteurellales, Pasteurellaceae.
CUCUAUGGUGAGCUGAAUGGAAGUCCGAAAGGACGCCGUGAACCUUUGAGAGCGGUAAGACCAAUUCCGUUCAGUUCACCACCAAU